RNAcentral lists this ribosomal RNA (301 nucleotides) under uncultured bacterium. Its description in RNAcentral is "partial 16S ribosomal RNA". It matches the Rfam family "Bacterial small subunit ribosomal RNA", at positions 509 to 807 of the family's 1533-position model. The record is from RNAcentral.
CAGUAGCCACGGUAACACGUAGGGUGCAAGCGUUGUCCGGAAUUAUUGGGCGUAAAGAGCUCGUAGGCGGUUUGUCGCGUCUGUUGUGAAAUCCCGAGGCUCAACCUCGGGCUUGCAGUGGGUACGGGCAGACUAGAGUGCGGUAGGGGAGAUUGGAAUUCCUGGUGUAGCGGUGGAAUGCGCAGAUAUCAGGAGGAACACCGAUGGCGAAGGCAGAUCUCUGGGCCGUAACUGACGCUGAGGAGCGAAAGCGUGGGGAGCGAACAGGAUUAGAGACCCCAGUAGUCCCUGUCUCUUAUAC